Molecule: ribosomal RNA, 420 nt
Filed under: Ophiophagus hannah (king cobra)
Lineage: Eukaryota; Metazoa; Chordata; Lepidosauria; Squamata; Elapidae
Description: partial large subunit ribosomal RNA
Rfam family: Bacterial large subunit ribosomal RNA
Source: RNAcentral
GGCCGCGGUACCCUAACCGUGCAAAGGUAGCGUAAUCACUUGUCUAUUAAUUGUAGACCCGUAUGAAAGGCAAAAUGAGGGUCCAACUGUCUCUUAUAGUAAAUCAAUUAAACUGAUCUCCCAGUCCAAAAGCUGGGAUCCCCCCAUAAGACCAGAAGACCCUGUGAAGCUUAAACUAAACUAUUACACCCAAUAAUAGCUCCUUUCGGUUGGGGCGACCUUGGAAAAAAAAAGAACUUCCAAAUAUACGAUCAUUCACCACAUCCACUUCGGCCAACAAGCCUAACACGACCCAGCACAGCUGAUAACCGAACCAAGCUACUCCAGGGAUAACAGCGCUAUCUUCUUCAAGAGCCCAUAUCAAAAAGAAGGUUUACGACCUCGAUGUUGGAUCAGGACAUCCUAAUGGUGCAGCCGCUA